GUGGGGUAAUGGCCUACCAAGGCGACGAUGCAUAUCCGGUCUGAGAGGAUGAUCGGACACACUGGAACUGAGACACGGUCCAGACUCCUACGGGAGGCAGCAGUGGGGAAUAUUGCGCAAUGGGGGAAACCCUGACGCAGCAACGCCGCGUGAGUGAGGAAGGACUUCGGUCUGUAAAGCUCUGUUAAUGUGGAAAAAUGCUUAGUGGUCUAAUAGGCCAUUGAGUUGAUGGUACACAUAGAGGAAGCACCGGCUAACUUCGUGCCAGCAGCCGCGGUAAUACGAAGGGUGCAAGCGUUGUUCGGAUUUAUUGGGCGUAAAGCGCACGUAGGUGGACUUAUAAGUCAGAUGUGAAAUCUCGGGGCUCAACCUCGAAACUGCGUCUGAAACUGUGAGUCUAGAAUCUUGGAGGGGGCAGGGGAAUUUCACAUGUA
RNAcentral lists this ribosomal RNA (434 nucleotides) under uncultured bacterium. Its description in RNAcentral is "bacterial SSU rRNA". It matches the Rfam family "Bacterial small subunit ribosomal RNA", at positions 252 to 677 of the family's 1533-position model. The record is from RNAcentral.